GCGAGAAAACUUUGCAAUGUGCGAAAGCACGACAAGGUUAAUCCGAGUGGUUUCUGCUAAAGAAACCUUUUGUCAGUCCUAGAAACACUAACGAAUAAGGGGUGGGCAAGUUCUGGUGUCAGCCGCCGCGGUAAAACCAGCACCUCAAGUGGUCAGGAUGAUUAUUGGGCCUAAAGCAUCCGUAGCUCGUUUUGUAAGUUUUCGGUUAAAUCCAUACGCUUAACGUAUGGGCUGCCGGGAAUACUGCAUAACUAGGAAGUGGGAGAGGUAGACGGUACUCGGUAGGAAGGGGUAAAAUCCUUUGAUCUAUUGAUGACCACCUGUGGCGAAGGCGGUCUACCAGAACACGUUCGACGGUGAGGGAUGAAAGCUGGGGGAGCAAACCGGAUUAGAUACC
This 397-nucleotide ribosomal RNA is filed under the name uncultured bacterium. RNAcentral's name for it is "bacterial SSU rRNA". It matches the Rfam family "Archaeal small subunit ribosomal RNA", at positions 339 to 737 of the family's 1478-position model. The record is from RNAcentral.